This 497-nucleotide ribosomal RNA is filed under the name uncultured bacterium. RNAcentral's name for it is "partial 16S ribosomal RNA". It matches the Rfam family "Bacterial small subunit ribosomal RNA", at positions 28 to 507 of the family's 1533-position model. The record is from RNAcentral.
GAUGAACGCUGGCGGCGUGCCUAAUACAUGCAAGUCGAGCGAACAGACGAGGUGCUUGCUCCUCUGACGUUAGCGGCGGACGGGUGAGUAACACGUGGAUAACCUCCCUAUAAGACUGGGGUAACUUCUGGAAACCGGAGCUAAUACCGGAUAAUAUAUUGAACCGCAUGGUUCAAUAGUGAAAGACGGUUUUGCUGUCACUUAUAGAUGGUUCCGCGCCGCAUUAGCUAGUUGGUAAGGUAACGGCUUACCAAGGCAACGAUGCGUAGCCGACCUGAGAGGGUGAUAGGCCACACUGGAACUGAGACACGGUCCAGACUCCUACGGGAGGCAGCAGUAGGGAAUCUUCCGAAAUGGGCGAAAGCUUGACGGAGCAACGCCGCGUGAGUGAUGAAGGUCUUCGGAUCUUAAAACUCUGUUAUUAGGGAAGAACAAAUGUGUAAGUAACUAUGCACGUCUUGACGGUACCUAAUCAGAAAGCCACGGCUAACUACGUG